Long non-coding RNA from Zalophus californianus (California sea lion), 465 nucleotides. RefSeq lists it as uncharacterized. The transcript is spliced from 5 exons. The record is from RefSeq and is a predicted model, not a curated record. NCBI's taxonomy places the organism in Eukaryota, Metazoa, Chordata, Mammalia, Carnivora, Otariidae.
CUGGAAAUGCCAACUCCGCUCUGCGGCCGGGCCCCAGCCUAGAAGGAAACGGAAGUCCCUUCGUCUCCCGCAGGCGCACCCACCAGCCCGCCCAUCGCCCGGAGGAGCCCCGAGUCGGGGGACCGAGGUGUGUCUGACCAUUACCUGGUCUCCUGACUGGCCUCUCUAUCCCUAGGACUGGUUCCCUGCAGUACAGCCUGCAUAAGGCCAUCUCAUCUCGGAUAAAUCCUUUGAGUGUGCCAUCUGUCGCUUGCCAGGACCCUGCCUCAUACAAGCAGGACAAGGAGCCACCCUAGGACUGGGGCCAGGAUAGCGCCAUUUCCAUGGAGCCUGGGAUUCUCCUCCUCAUCAGCGGUCUAAGGAGGCUACACUCUUCACACAGAUGUGGUGGGGUGCAAGUGACUGAGUCCAGUAGAAAAGACCACACCCAAGGUAACAAUGGUAUUUCCCUACAGUCCAUUAACU